RNAcentral lists this long non-coding RNA (1332 nucleotides) under Salmo trutta (river trout). RNAcentral's name for it is "lncRNA (ENSSTUG00000017814.1)". The record is from RNAcentral. Lineage: Eukaryota; Metazoa; Chordata; Actinopteri; Salmoniformes; Salmonidae.
GUGUGUUGGUGGAAGGAGACAGCUACCUGUCUGUGCAGGCAUCACGCUUUUAGCCUCAUCUUUGCAGUAGUGGAGACAGCAGGACAAGAUGACAUCAUCAUUGUUCCCCUGGAGGGGGGGGAGAGACAGGUAAAUCUAAAGCUGAAUUUCAAUGACAGUCCGGAAUUGAAUGAAAUAGCAUUAGCUUGCAGUCAAAGACUGCUCCAAACUCUUAAUUCACAUACAAGAGAUGGUAAAAUACUUGACAGAGGAUCUGGGGCACUUGGACACACGUUUAAUAUACACAUCAAAACACACAAUCGGCACCUGUUGUCCGGAGGUGUCUUCGCUGCGGAAGGCGAUAGACUCCAUUUGACUUCCUCUGCUGGUCAGCGCUCUGAGACAGGGCUCCCUGGCCUCGAACCCUCGCUCCAGAAACGCCACAGCAACCUUAGCCUUCUCCUGGACCGACUGGGCGUGGGUCGGUCCACCACUACCGGUGUUUCCACGACAACCACUGCCACCACGCCCACUGCCAGAGCCAUCGCAGCUCUCCUGCCCCUUUGCCAGACCAUCCAACUCUGUUAUCACUGGAGGAGGGGAGGGAGAGAAGAGGGGGGGAGGGAGGGAGAAAAGAGGAAGGAGAGAGAAGAGAGGAGGGGGAGGGAGGGAGUGAGAGGGAGAGAGGUAGGGAGGGAGAGAGGAGGGAGGGAGGGAGGGAGAGGGAGGGAGGGAGGAGAGAGGGAGGGAGGAGAGAGGGAGGGAGGAGAGAGGAGAGAGGAGAGAGGGAGGAGAGAGAGAGGGAGGGAGGAAGGAGAGAAGAGGGAGGAGAGAGAGGGAGGAGAGAGGGGAGGGAGAGAAGGGGAGGAGAGAGAGAAGGGGAGGGAGAGAAGGGGAGGGAGAGAAGAGAGGAGGGAGAGAAGAGAGGAGGGAGAGAAGAGAGGAGGGAGAGAAGAGAGGAGGGAGAGAAGAGGGGAGGGAGAGAAGAGGGAGGGAGAGAAGAGAGGAGGGGAGAGAAGAGAGGAGGGAGAGAAGAGGGGAGGGAGAGAAGAGAGGAGGGAGAGAAGAGAGGAGGGAGAGAAGAGGAGGGAGAGAAGAGAGGAGGGAGAGAAGAGAGGAGGGAGAGAAGAGGGGAGGGAGAGAAGAGAGGAGGGAGAGAAGAGAGGAGGGAGAGAAGAGAAGAGGGAGAGAAGAGGGGAGGGAGAGAAGAGAGGAGGGAGAGAAGAGAGGAGGGAGAGAAGAGAGGAGGGAGAGAAGAGAGGAGGGAGAGAAGAGAGGAGGGAGAGAAGAGGAAAGAGAGAGAAGAGGGCAAAGACAUCUACAGUCAGAACUAAACAUUCCUCUAACUCCUAA